This is a long non-coding RNA of Hippocampus comes (tiger tail seahorse), 962 nucleotides long. RefSeq lists it as uncharacterized. NCBI's taxonomy places the organism in Eukaryota, Metazoa, Chordata, Actinopteri, Syngnathiformes, Syngnathidae. The transcript has 2 exons. The record is from RefSeq and is a predicted model, not a curated record.
GGCCAAGUGUGAAGUAAAUUGGCCAACAAUGUUUUUGAGUAAUAUCAAUGGCUGAACAAUUAUAAGCAUAUUUCCGUUAUUUUUUUUCACGCAAACCUUCCAGAUUCUUUAUUUAACCCAGUGCAACGCCCUUGACAACGAAAAUGCUUUUCUUCGGCAAUCUUCGGAAAUGACGUCACAUGGAGAACUGUGAGGGAAGUCUUUCCAUUGCACAGCAUUGUUGCAUUGCUUGUUGGUAAGAUGCCACGGCGGUGUGUGGCGAUGUAUUGUUCGCAAUCCACAGAAAAUGUCUACCAGUGGCCGAAGGAUAGCAGGGCACUUAAAUGGACAUGUUUUACUCGCACGAAGCGAAUGAAUUUCACGCCCUCAUUCUCCACUUCAAAGAUGAACAGCUUUCUCAACCGGUCUGCUUAUGAUCAAGGAUUUGCAAAAAAAGUGACGAGACUGGGGGAAGCUAUGGAAUGGAACUCGAGGGCCUGAAAAAAUGCCGUCAAGGAGUUGGAAGGCUUCAAUGUAAAAGUUGUCGUCACUGACAAUGACAGGCAUCGCCAGGUGCUGAAAUGGAUCAGGGAGAAUUGGACCCAAGUCAUCUUUUGAUUGUGAUUGUUGACACAUUGUUAAAAGUUAGUGUAUUUCAAUGUUUAUAAAUACGCUAGUUUUGGGAUUAUGUCUUCUACAUCAUGCACGUCACUUCACGAGUUUUCAUAUCAUAUUGACCCAUAUGUCAUCCAAAUAUUUAUCAUCGCAAUAUGUUGUUGUUUUUUUUUUUGUAGACUAUGUGAAUGACUGCCUGUCAGAGGUGAUGAAACUGACUGCCAUUUAAAAUAAGUCCAGAACUGGUGAUGUGUGUGUCGAUCCGCAAUUCCUGACAGCAGCAGUGAACAGGCCAGACAAGUCAACUGUUAUUUCUGAGCACCAGACUAGAUUCCUCAGGAAAUAAAAAAAAAAUUCCAUUCCCUGUA